This 465-nucleotide ribosomal RNA is filed under the name uncultured bacterium. RNAcentral's name for it is "bacterial SSU rRNA". It matches the Rfam family "Bacterial small subunit ribosomal RNA", at positions 338 to 795 of the family's 1533-position model. The record is from RNAcentral.
CCUACGGGUGGCAGCAGUGGGGAAUUUUGCGCAAUGGACGAAAGUCUGACGCAGCAACGCCGCGUGGGUGAUGAAGGUCUUCGGAUUGUAAAACCCUGUCGUCAGGGACGAAGGUUGGGGUCUUAACAAGGCUUCAGCUUGACGGUACCUGGAGAGGAAGCCCCGGCUAACUCUGUGCCAGCAGCCGCGGUAAUACAGAGGGGGCAAGCGUUAUUCGGAAUUAUUGGGCGUAAAGGGCGCGUAGGCGGUUUCGUAAGUAGGAUGUGUAAUCCCCGAGCUUAACUUGGGAACUGCAUCCUAGACUGCGAGGCUAGAGUGCUGGAGAGGGUGGUAGAAUUCCACGUGUAGCGGUGAAAUGCGUAGAGAUGUGGAGGAAUACCAGUGGCGAAGGCGGCCACCUGGACAGUAACUGACGCUGAGGCGCGAAAGUGUGGGUAGCAAACAGGAUUAGAUACCCUUGUAGUC